RNAcentral lists this ribosomal RNA (253 nucleotides) under uncultured Vampirovibrio sp. RNAcentral's name for it is "partial 16S ribosomal RNA". It matches the Rfam family "Bacterial small subunit ribosomal RNA", at positions 524 to 776 of the family's 1533-position model. Lineage: Bacteria; Bacillati; Candidatus Melainabacteria; Vampirovibriophyceae; Vampirovibrionales; Vampirovibrionaceae. The record is from RNAcentral.
GACGUAGGAUGCAAGCGUUGUCCGGAUUUAUUGGGCGUAAAGAGUUCGUAGGCGGUUCGUUAAGUCUGAUGUUAAAGAUCGGGGCCCAACCCUGGGAGUGCAUUGGAUACUGGCGAACUGGAGUGCAGUAGAGGCGAGUGGAAUUCCCAGUGUAGCGGUGAAAUGCGUAGAUAUUGGGAAGAACACCGGUGGCGUAGGCGACUCGCUGGGCUGUAACUGACGCUGAGGAACGAAAGCCAGGGGAGCGAAUGGG